GACGAACGCUGGCGGCGUGCUUAACACAUGCAAGUCGAACGGAAAGGCCCUGCUUUUGUGGGGUGCUCGAGUGGCGACCGGGUGAGUAACACGUGAGUAACCUGCCCCUGACUUUGGGAUAUCCUCAGGCAACUGGGGCUAAUACCGGAUAGGAGCUCCUGCUGCUUGGUGGGGGUUGGAAAGUUUCGGCGGUUGGGGAUGGACUCGCGGCUUAUCAGCUUGGUGGUUGGGUAGUGGCUUACCAAGGCUUUGACGGGUAGCCGGCCUGAGAGGGUGACCGGCCACAUUGCGACUGAGAUACGGCCCAGACUCGUACGGGAGGCAGCGGUGGAGAAUGGUGCAUAAGGGACUGAGGCCUGAUGCGGUAACGCCGCGUGCGGGAUGACGUGCUGCGGGUUGUAAACCGCUGUCGCCUGUGACGAGACGUGAGUGACGGUAAUGGGUAAAGAAGCACCGGCUAACUACGUG
This 468-nucleotide ribosomal RNA is filed under the name uncultured bacterium. RNAcentral's name for it is "partial 16S ribosomal RNA". It matches the Rfam family "Bacterial small subunit ribosomal RNA", at positions 28 to 507 of the family's 1533-position model. The record is from RNAcentral.